GUACAUAGACUUUCUGUUUGUGAAGCACUUUCAUAAGUGCAUUUUUUGUGUGUAUUUAGUGAGUAUUUAGUGUAUUGAGUGAGUUAGUGCCCCACAUCAAGGGUUGAAGAAUCAUUACUAUUCAAGUCAGAAUCUGUAUAGUUAGUUACGUAACAGCGCCAUCUACUGGCAAUAGAAAUCCACUGUGAUUUAUGUUUCUUACAUUUGUAUAAUUAAAGUUGUUCUUCAUUAUGCAACUACAGUGCAUUGUGGGUAGCUAGUGCAUUCUGGGAAGGAGAGGGAAGCCACCAUACUGUCUACAACAUAUUGCAUAGCUCUCCUUGCACUCCUGCUUCUUAAACCUCCAUUAUCCUACAGCCAGCAUAUCUGUUUUACCACACACGCGCACACACAGACAUACAUCUGUGUUCCUGUUUUCUAAUUGCAACUGACCACUUACGAUCAAACAACCUGUUAUCAAUAAACAAGUUAGAUUACAA
Molecule: long non-coding RNA, 479 nt
Organism: Xenopus tropicalis (tropical clawed frog)
Lineage: Eukaryota; Metazoa; Chordata; Amphibia; Anura; Pipidae
Exons: 2
Source: RefSeq, a predicted model, not a curated record